CGAAGGGGGCUAGCGUUGUUCGGAAUCACUGGGCGUAAAGGGCGCGUAGGCGGCCGCUCAAGUCGGGGGUGAAAGCCUGUGGCUCAACCACAGAAUGGCCUUCGAUACUGGACGGCUUGAGACCGGAAGAGGUCAGUGAACUGCGAGUGUAGAGGUGAAAUUCGUAGAUAUUCGCAAGAACACCAGUGGCGAAGGCGGCUGACUGGUCCGGUUCUGACGCUGAGGCGCGAAAGCGUGGGGAGCAAACAGGAUUAGAUACCCUGGUAGUCCACGCUGUAAACGAUGGAUGCUAGCCGUUGGCGCGCUUGCGCGUCAGUGGCGCCGCUAACGCUUUAAGCAUCCCGCCUGGGGAUACGGUCGCAAGAUUA
This 368-nucleotide ribosomal RNA is filed under the name uncultured organism. Its description in RNAcentral is "bacterial SSU rRNA". It matches the Rfam family "Bacterial small subunit ribosomal RNA", at positions 526 to 896 of the family's 1533-position model. The record is from RNAcentral.